UAGCCUGUAAUUAUUUUUUUUAUGAAUUGAUGUAUAGUGUUAUCAUAUCUAAUUAGUAGUAUGAUGAUAAUUAGUAAGCAGAAAAGGGUUAAUUCUUAUCAGCAAUCGCCUGGUGAGAAAGUUAAAAGUUUAAGAUUUCACAUGUCCAAGGUGUCAAUUGGAUUCCAAUUGUGCUGGGUUACAUCAAACAUCAAAAUUUAUGCAAAUAUUUAUUCAGCCUCACUUUAGAUUCAGAGUCAACUGGCACUGAAUCGAUCACAUGGUAUUUGUUCCCCACCUGGCCCUUACGACGCGCAGCUAGAUUGGGCCGGAUCCCAGGCUAGGUGGA
RNAcentral lists this long non-coding RNA (328 nucleotides) under Mytilus galloprovincialis (Mediterranean mussel). Lineage: Eukaryota; Metazoa; Mollusca; Bivalvia; Mytilida; Mytilidae. The record is from RNAcentral.